RNAcentral lists this ribosomal RNA (429 nucleotides) under Acidobacteriota bacterium. RNAcentral's name for it is "Acidobacteria bacterium partial 16S ribosomal RNA". It matches the Rfam family "Bacterial small subunit ribosomal RNA", at positions 355 to 776 of the family's 1533-position model. The record is from RNAcentral. Lineage: Bacteria; Pseudomonadati; Acidobacteriota.
UGGGGAAUUUUGGACAAUGGGGGAAACCCUGAUCCAGCCAUCCCGCGUGUGCGAUGAAGGCCUUCGGGUUGUAAAGCACUUUUGGCAGGAAAGAAACGUCAUGGGUUAAUACCCCGUGAAACUGACGGUACCUGCAGAAUAAGCACCGGCUAACUACGUGCCAGCAGCCGCGGUAAUACGUAGGGUGCAAGCGUUAAUCGGAAUUACUGGGCGUAAGGCGUGCGCAGGCGGUUCGGAAAGAAAGAUGUGAAAUCCCAGAGCUCAACUUUGGAACUGCAUUUUUAACUACCGGGCUAGAGUGUGUCAGAGGGAGGUGGAAUUCCGCGUGUAGCAGUGAAAUGCGUAGAUAUGCGGAGGAACACCGAUGGCGAAGGCAGCCUCCUGGGAUAACACUGACGCUCAUGCACGAAAGCGUGGGGAGCAAACAGG